This 405-nucleotide ribosomal RNA is filed under the name uncultured bacterium. Its description in RNAcentral is "bacterial SSU rRNA". It matches the Rfam family "Bacterial small subunit ribosomal RNA", at positions 354 to 775 of the family's 1533-position model. The record is from RNAcentral.
AUGAGGGAUAUUGCGCAAUGGGCGAAAGCCUGACGCAGCGACGCCGCGUGGGUGAUGAAGUCUUUCGGGAUGUAAAGCCCUUUUGUCGGGGACGAGAAUGGACGGUACCCGGCGAAUAAGCCCCGGCUAACUACGUGCCAGCAGCCGCGGUAAUACGUAGGGGGCGAGCGUUGUCCGGAUUUACUGGGCGUAAAGCGCGUGUAGGCGGCUUCUUAAGUCGGGUGUGAAAGCCCGGGGCUCAACCCCGGGACGCCGCCCGAGACUGGAUCGCUUGAGGCCGGAAGAGGGGAGUGGAAUUCCUGGUGUAGCGGUGAAAUGCGUAGAGAUCAGGAGGAACACCCGUGGCGAAGGCGGCUCCCUGGUCCGGUGCUGACGCUGAGACGCGAAAGCGCGGGGAGCGAACGG